Molecule: ribosomal RNA, 424 nt
Filed under: uncultured Bacteroides sp.
Lineage: Bacteria; Pseudomonadati; Bacteroidota; Bacteroidia; Bacteroidales; Bacteroidaceae
Description: bacterial SSU rRNA
Rfam family: Bacterial small subunit ribosomal RNA
Source: RNAcentral
CCUACGGGAGGCAGCAGUGAGGAAUAUUGGUCAAUGGACGAGAGUCUGAACCAGCCAAGUAGCGUGAAGGAUGACUGCCCUAUGGGUUGUAAACUUCUUUUAUAUGGGAAUAAAGUGAGCCACGUGUGGCUUUUUGUAUGUACCCUAUGAAUAAGCAUCGGCUAACUCCGUGCCAGCAGCCGCGGUAAUACGGAGGAUGCGAGCGUUAUCCGGAUUUAUUGGGUUUAAAGGGAGCGUAGGUGGAUUGUUAAGUCAGUUGUGAAAGUUUGCGGCUCAACCGUAAAAUUGCAGUUGAAACUGGCAGUCUUGAGUACAGUAGAGGUGGGCGGAAUUCGUGGUGUAGCGGUGAAAUGCUUAGAUAUCACGAAGAACUCCGAUUGCGAAGGCAGCUUGCUGGACUGUAACUGACGCUGAUGCUCGAAAG